Molecule: ribosomal RNA, 567 nt
Filed under: Pseudoxanthomonas sp. KOD6
Lineage: Bacteria; Pseudomonadati; Pseudomonadota; Gammaproteobacteria; Lysobacterales; Lysobacteraceae
Description: bacterial SSU rRNA
Rfam family: Bacterial small subunit ribosomal RNA
Source: RNAcentral
CCUACGCGAGGCAGCAGUGGGGAAUAUUGGCCAAUGGGCGCAAGCCUGGUCCAGCCAUACCGCGUGGGUGAAAAAGGCCUUCGGGUUGUAAAGCCCUUUUGUUGGGAAAGAAAUCCUGUCGAUUAAUACUCGGUGGGGAUGACGGUACCCAAAGAAUAAGCACCGGCUAACUUCGUGCCAGCAGCCGCGGUAAUAGAAGGGUGCAAGCGUUACUCGGAAUUACUGGGCGUAAAGCGUGCGUAGGUGGUGGUUUAAGUCUGCUGUGAAAGCCCUGGGCUCAACCUGGGAAUUGCAGUGGAUACUGGAUCACUAGAGUGUGGUAGACGGCUGCGGAAUUUCUGGUGUAGCAGUGACAUGCGUAGAGACAGAAGGAACUCCGUGGCGAAGGCGGCUCCUGGGCCAACACUGACAUGAGGCAGAAAGCGUGGGGAGCAAACAGAUUAGAUACCCUGGUAGUCCACGCCCUAAACGUUGCGAACUGGAUGUUGGGUGCAACUUGGCACCCAGUUCGUAAGCUCAACGGCAAUAAAUUCGCCGCCCGGGCCCUAGGGGCACUCGAAUCGCACU